UACGAAGGGGCUAGCGUUGCUCGGAAUCACUGGGCGUAAAGGGUGCGUAGGCGGGUCUUUUAAGUCAGGGGUGAAAUCCUGGAGCUCAACUCCAGAACUGCCUUUGAUACUGAGGAUCUUGAGUUCGGGAGAGGUGAGUGGAACUGCGAGUGUAGAGGUGAAAUUCGUAGAUAUUCGCAAGAACACCAGUGGCGAAGGCGGCUCACUGGCCCGAUACUGACGCUGAGGCACGGAAAGCGUGGGGAGCAAACAGG
Molecule: ribosomal RNA, 254 nt
Filed under: uncultured bacterium
Lineage: Bacteria
Description: partial 16S ribosomal RNA
Rfam family: Bacterial small subunit ribosomal RNA
Source: RNAcentral